RNAcentral lists this ribosomal RNA (493 nucleotides) under uncultured Nocardiopsis sp. Its description in RNAcentral is "partial 16S ribosomal RNA". Lineage: Bacteria; Bacillati; Actinomycetota; Actinomycetes; Streptosporangiales; Nocardiopsidaceae. The record is from RNAcentral.
CACGUAGUUAGCCAGUCCUUAUUCCCCACCUACCGUCAACCCCCAGAGAACUGGAAGCCUGCGUUGGUGGUAAAAGAGGUUUACAACCCGAAGGCCGUCAUCCCCCACGCGGCGUCGCUGCGUCAGGCUUUCGCCCAUUGCGCAAUAUUCCCCACUGCUGCCUCCCGCAGGAGUCUGGGCCGUGUCUCAGUCCCAGUGUGGCCGGUCGCCCUCUCAGGCCGGCUACCCGUAAUCGCCUUGGUAGGCCGUUACCCCACAACAAGCUGAUAGGCCGCGAGCCCAUCCCUGACCGAAAACUUUCCACCCUCCACCAUGAGGUGGCGGUCGUAUCCGGUAUUAGACGGCGUUUCCACCGCUUAUCCCAGAGUCAGGGGCAGGUUGCUCACGUGUUACUCACCCGUUCGCCGCUCGUGUACCCCGAAGGGCCUUACCGCUCGACUUGCAUGUGUUAAGCACGCCGCCAGCGUUCGUCCUGAGCCAGGAUACAAACUCU